This 253-nucleotide ribosomal RNA is filed under the name uncultured bacterium. RNAcentral describes it as "partial 16S ribosomal RNA". It matches the Rfam family "Bacterial small subunit ribosomal RNA", at positions 524 to 776 of the family's 1533-position model. The record is from RNAcentral.
UACGAAGGUCCCAAGCGUUAUCCGGAUUUAUUGGGUUUAAAGGGUACGUAGGCGGGCUAUUAAGUCAGUGGUGAAAGCCCCAAGCUUAACUUGGGAACUGCCAUUGAUACUGAUGGUCUUGAGUACAUUUGAGGUGGGCGGAAUGUGUCAUGUAGCGGUGAAAUGCUUAGAUAUGACACAGAACACCGAUUGCGAAGGCAGCUCACUAAACUGUAACUGACGCUGAGGCACGAAAGCGUGGGGAGCAAACAGG